RNAcentral lists this ribosomal RNA (486 nucleotides) under uncultured bacterium. RNAcentral describes it as "bacterial SSU rRNA". It matches the Rfam family "Bacterial small subunit ribosomal RNA", at positions 28 to 507 of the family's 1533-position model. The record is from RNAcentral.
GAUGAACGCUAGCGGCGGGCCUAACACAUGCAAGUCAGGGGUAACAUAGAAAAGCUUGCUUUUCUGAUGACGACCGGCGCACGGGUGCGUAACGCGUAUACAACCUACCUUUUAGCGGGGAAUAGCCCAGGGAAACUUGGAUUAAUGCCCCAUAGUAUAUAGACUUCUCCUGAAGUUUAUAUUAAACAUUUAUGGCUAUUAGAUGGGUAUGCGUCCUAUUAGUUAGUUGGUAAGGUAACGGCUUACCAAGGCAGCGAUAGGUAGGGGUCCUGAGAGGGAGAUCCCCACACUGGUACUGAGACACGGACCAGACUCCUACGGGAGGCAGCAGUGAGGAAUAUUGGACAAUGGGCGAGAGCCUGAUCCAGCCAUGCCGCGUGCAGGAAGACUGCCCUAUGGGUUGUAAACUGCUUUUACAGAGGAAGAACCACCCCCACGUGUGGGGGUUUGACGGUACUCUGCGAAUAAGGAUCGGCUAACUCCGUG